This 224-nucleotide ribosomal RNA is filed under the name uncultured bacterium. Its description in RNAcentral is "partial 16S ribosomal RNA". It matches the Rfam family "Bacterial small subunit ribosomal RNA", at positions 28 to 253 of the family's 1533-position model. The record is from RNAcentral.
GACGAACGCUGGCGGCGUGCUUAACACAUGCAAGUCGAGCGGUAAGGCCCUUUCGGGGGUACACGAGCGGCGAACGGGUGAGUAACACGUGGGUGACCUGCCCUUAGCUCUGGGAUAAGCCUGGGAAACUGGGUCUAAUACCGGAUAUGACUCCAUGACGCAUGUUGUGGGGUGGAAAGCCUUGUGCGGCUAGGGAUGGGCCCGCGGCCUAUCAGCUUGUUGGU